Molecule: long non-coding RNA, 561 nt
Filed under: Olea europaea subsp. europaea
Lineage: Eukaryota; Viridiplantae; Streptophyta; Magnoliopsida; Lamiales; Oleaceae
Source: RNAcentral
UAAUAAUAAUAAACUUAGAAAUACCAAACAAAACUGGCAAAUAUCUGGGACCGACACAGCAAAGGGAAAAACCAUUGUUCCCGAACCCUCCGUCCCGCCGCGCCUUCGUCGACCGGAGCACCGGUAGUCAUCGACCAAGAAGAGGGAGAAAUGGGAAAAAAAAGGAACUCAUUUAUCUAACAUUUAAAAGCCCAAAUGUCGAUCGAUUUUUUCCCUGUUUUUCCUUCCACAGUCUCCGGCGUUUAAUAACGGUUCAUAAGUUUUGCAUUUUAUGUUGCUGGUUUUAAUGAAUGAAAUGUAUGCAGCCUAUUACAGAACAACAUCAUAACAGGACCAAUCCCAACAAAACUUGGAAAACUCUCAAAGCUCCAGACUCUUGAUCUUUGUGAUAACUUCUUUAAUGGAAGUAUUCCUUCUUCACUAGGGCACUUGAAAACCUUUCAGUAUAUGUAAGCAUCGAAGUUUAAACUACUAAAAGGACUUAACAACUCCUUUUUGUACAAUGAAAUGGACAAACAACUAUUUCUCACCAAAAUAGAUUGAAGGAGCAGGGACGAUCGG